This 485-nucleotide ribosomal RNA is filed under the name uncultured bacterium. RNAcentral's name for it is "partial 16S ribosomal RNA". It matches the Rfam family "Bacterial small subunit ribosomal RNA", at positions 28 to 507 of the family's 1533-position model. The record is from RNAcentral.
GAUGAACGCUAGCUACAGGCUUAACACGUGCAAGUCGAGGGGCAGCAUGACCUAGCAAUAGGUUGAUGGCGACCGGCGCACGGGUGAGUAACACGUAUCCAACCUGCCGAUUAUUCCGGGAUAGCCUUUCGAAAGAAAGAUUAAUACUGGAUAGCAUAACGAGAAGGCAUCUUCUUGUUAUUAAAGAAUUUCGAUAAUCGAUGGGGAUGCGUUCCAUUAGUUUGUUGGCGGGGUAACGGCCCACCAAGACAUCGAUGGAUAGGGGUUCUGAGAGGAAGGUCCCCCACAUUGGAACUGAGACACGGUCCAAACUCCUACGGGAGGCAGCAGUGAGGAAUAUUGGUCAAUGGACGAGAGUCUGAACCAGCCAAGUAGCGUGAAGGAUGACUGCCCUAUGGGUUGUAAACUUCUUUUAUAUGGGAAUAAAGUGGGCCACGUGUGGCUUUUUGUAUGUACCAUACGAAUAAGGAUCGGCUAACUCCGUG